UACGUAGGGGGCAAGCGUUGUCCGGAUUUAUUGGGCGUAAAGCGCUCGCAGGUGGUUCGUCGCGUCGUGCGUGAAAGACCCCGGCUCAACUGGGGAGUGUCGUGCGAUACGGGCGAACUGGAGGCCAGUAGGGGGAUGCGGAAUUCCGGGUGUAGUGGUGGAAUGCGUAGAGAUCCGGAGGAACACCAGCGGCGAAGGCGGCAUCCUGGACUGGUCCUGACACUCAGGAGCGAAAGCGUGGGGAGCGAGCCGG
This 253-nucleotide ribosomal RNA is filed under the name uncultured bacterium. Its description in RNAcentral is "partial 16S ribosomal RNA". It matches the Rfam family "Bacterial small subunit ribosomal RNA", at positions 524 to 776 of the family's 1533-position model. The record is from RNAcentral.